Molecule: long non-coding RNA, 191 nt
Organism: Melopsittacus undulatus (budgerigar)
Lineage: Eukaryota; Metazoa; Chordata; Aves; Psittaciformes; Psittaculidae
Exons: 3
Source: RefSeq, a predicted model, not a curated record
GGCUGGAUGCCGCCAGGCCAUGGUGCAGAUGGAGCUGCUUUGGGCAGCCACUGCACUGAUGCUGCUGGGGGCUGCCAUCAGCCUCUGUGUCCGGUGCCAGCGCUCGGUUACCAAGCGAGAGAAGCAGCUGAAUGACCAGAGGAGCCAGCUCAGAAGCCAGCAGAGUUUUGAGGUGAUCCGAUCCCAUUCCA